UGGAAGUUUUCUUCAUACAAAACCAUGUAGUCAUGCAUGUUUGCAGCAUCAAAAGAGGUAUCUGUGUUCACUACCAAUACCACCACCAUCAUCGUCCUGUUGGACUGUAAAAUGUCAAAGUUGAAAUGUCACAUGACUGCUACAGACAUGGUUCACUUCUUAUCAAAUUAGCUUAAGCUAGCAUAUGCACAUCAUGCUAACUGUUAUAUUACUGCUUUAGUGGAAGUUUGUGCUGAACUGUGAUUUAACUGCAAAAAAGAAAAUUUUAUGUUCUUGCAGUUUCUCUAAUUCUUAGAUAUUUGGGGAAUGGCUGAUGUACACAAUCUUGAGAUGUAUUUGUGAUUAGCUCUAGAACUCUUUUGCAUUGAACAAAAAUGUGUCUGUUCAUGCUUGUUACAAUCCGAGAUCCAAUACUUAGAUUAAUAACUUGUAUUUUAGUUAUAAGUCUUCACCUUAUAUGCUUUUAAAUGGCACAUAUGAUUGCAUUAGUUAUGUGAGAUUUCAUAUUUGGUCAUUUUAUAGAAACUUAUGUAUCAUCAGAACGGAUCAUAUUCUUUCAAGAAUCACUCUGUUCCUUGAUUCAUUUGCUUUACACUGUUGAUAUUGAUGAUUAUGCUGAAUUCAAGAACAUGUUUCUCCUGCCUCAGGAUUCAUAUGUUAGAGCAAAAAAGUGGGUUCGAGAACUCCAAAGACAAGGUGACUUAGUAUUUACCUUCGAUGUGCAUUUUACCAUAAAUUUUGGUUAUAUGCAAGCAUGCCAAUUCUUUGCUCCACACUUCAAAGUUGGUUUUUUAGCUUUAAUUAUCUAUCAUGGUUAUAAACCAUCAAUCGGUUGAACUGACACCUUGUGUUUUCAUUCACAUUCUACAUAUGAACUUGCAGUUACACCUUUGAUAAUGUUGUUAGAAAUGUAACCUAAGCAAAAUUUGUGUUAACUAGUCAACUUGAACAAAAUAUUAUAUACUUUGUGGGUUUUUACUCAACAUGUAUCUUGAAUGUUUCUUAUAUGCUGCUCCAACAGUCAAACUAUUUCAUUCUAUAUGAAUUUUGUGAUCUCACCUUGUUUAAUUGUUUGUGUUCUGCUGAGUCAGCAUCACAUAUAACUCAAACAAAUCUACUCUGUUCUAGGAAACCCAUAUCUGAUAUUGGCAUUGGUCGGGAACAAGAUUGACUUGGAGGCAAAAAGGAAGGUGGAAUCUGAGGUAAAUAAGGACUUGUUUUUGUGAUUUACACACUUUAGUUUCUUCUUUUGUUACCUGUGAUGAUCAUGAAGCAUGAACUUCAAAUUACCAAAAAGAAUGAAGAUUAAAAUUGCUUAACAAUCACCUGCCUUUUCAAUUGAACAAAUCAUCUUCUUCGAUGAGUGACUGGCAAAAAAGGGAUUGACAUUCCAAAUGAAUUAUAUGUUUGUGUAUUUUCCACAAUAUCUUGUAUCAUCAUUUUUUAUUGUACCAAUUCAUUCUUAGGCUGUUUAUAUCUAUGAGAAAACCUCCAGUAAACUUAUCUCAAUUGACACCUAGGCUUGUCUUAGUUUUAGCCUGCACCAUCGAAACUGCACAAAUAAGACCAAAUGUGCCACUAUGGAAGACUAAUACUUGAUAAUAGCAGGUUUCAGCUUACCCUGCCGAGGCUGUUCAUUGGAUUUAAGGUCCUAUGAAGUAAACAUACAUUGAAACACUAAAACAAGCAAACCACCAGCCAAAUUCACUGGAAUAAGUUGUAACUCACACAUGCACUAAAUAUAAAUCACAAUCUAGUCUAAAAUAUCAAAAAAUCUUUAUCAAACCAAGAUGGCUCCAAACCAGUGGAUGGACAGACUUUGAUGAAGACUAAUUUAGUUUAAGAAUACCUUUUAGAGAAUCCACAUAUCAUGCCACACACACACGGAAUGUUUCAACAGCCAGUCAUAAUCAACGAAAGGUAUAGAUAUUUCAAAUAAAUCAAUCAAAUAUAUGCCUAAUCAAGCAAUGGCAAAGAAGACAGUUCUGUGCACAUGAAUGGGUAAUUUAUCAUGGAAUGUAGCAGAUGAAUGGACAAUUACAAACAGUGUGUGCAUCCUAAGCCCCAUGAGAUUUGCAUUUUUAUGAUUUAGCAUCGUAAGUCCAUACCGUACCUGUGUUGCUGUGCUACUUGUGAGGCUAGAGUAUAUGAAAUGCUUGAUAGAUAUGUGGUGCUGAAACUUUGGCUUCUUCUCAGGAAGGCUUGCAAUAUGCCCAAGAGAAUGGGUUGUUCUUCAUUGAAACUUCUGCAAAAACAGCAGAGAACAUCAACGAGCUCUUCUAUGAAAUAGGUAAACUUCUCUCUCACCAUCUCAAUGCAUUCCUAAUAACAUGCCAACUUUCAUCCCUCACAGCCAAGAGACUUGCUAAAGCCAGGCCACCGCAGUCAUCCGGGAUGAACUUGUCCAAUGAAACACAAGUCAGGGAGAGAAGGCUGUUCUGCUGCUCGGGAUGAUCACAUCCAUGACCAACUUGAUGCAUUGAUCUUGUCCAAUCAAACUUUGAUCUUGUUACUUGUAAAGGUUUAGAAAGCCAACGAGUCAAGAUGCCUAUCUGUUUUAAGUGUUGUCCUGCAUGAACUCAGUUGAUUGUGGCAUCAUAACAUCUACAUUGCAAAAUUAGCCAUAUUACACCUGCACAGGCAACUCUCAUGCUCUCAGAAACAGGACUUGGUUUGGUUGAAGUACAUGUAAGGCAAGUAUGCCAUUUACUUGAUGCAAAAAUCUAAAUAUCAAAAUCAGAUGAGUCUGCCACAUCAGGAUAGCAAGUCUGUGCUGAGUGGGUUUCAUCAUCAUGUUUCUAAAUAUCGAUUGGUAUGAUGUGUAUUUAGUAGUAUUUACUGAUCCAAUUGUGAACCGAUAUCAAUUCAUAUGUUUAAUUAUAAGUUAUGAUUAUUUAGUCGAUCUUUAUACAAAGAAGGCUUAAGCCCUCUUUGUGUCAUUCAAAUGGUUUGUAAAAAAAUUAGUCAUCAUCUAGUUGUUAGAUUAUGUGAUCCUAACUAAUUUUAAUUGAAAUAUAUUAAAAUUCUAAUUUAACUUUGAUUAAGAUUAUCAAUCAAUAAAAAAGAAAUGUAGAUGAUCUUGAUAAGAGUGACUAUUCUCAUUAUUCCUUCUAAGACCUCAUCUCGCGUAUAGACAAAACCUCUAAGAAUCUAGAUACAUAAAAUAUAAAAAUUUAUUCUUUAUCUUUCAGUUAGUCCUGACUCUAUCAUUAAUCAUGAUUCUAUUAAAGAUAGGAAAAGAAGAGAAUGAAAAUCUAAUUUCCUUCAUACAGAUUGAUGCUACUAUUGCUUCUUAUGAAUUAGCGAAUUAGACUAUGGUGCGUUCCUAGACAACGAAGGGUCUUUUGUCAUAGGUAUCAAAAGUACAUAAAAUUUAAUCUUUGAUCUAUAUCAUUUGAUUUCAAUCUUAACAUUAAGUUAUUUUUCAUUAUAGAUUUUAUGCUUACACUUACGAUGGUACAUCAUUUUCACUUAUUAGAAAUUGAAGAUUUCAAAAACUCAUUCAAUAUGGUGUAUAUAUAUAAUAUAGUGUGUAUAUAUUUGUUGAUUAAUUAUAAGCUUGAGUUAUGGAGGUGAGCCUUAGAAAUUAAAGAUCUUAGAUUAAGUAUGACUAAGUCUAAAUAUAUAAAAUAUAAUUUUAAUGAUUCUAGAAUAUAGUUAAAUUAGAUGGAUAAGAAAUUCCUUUAAGUAGAAGCUUUAGGUGUCUCAGAUCAAUUAUUCAACAACAUUGAGAGAUCGAUAAAGAUAUUAUUCAUAAAGUAAAAACAUGAUGGUUAAAACGAUAGAGACAUCAGGAGUCUUGUGGGAUCAUUGGAUAUAUUUAAGAUUAAAAUAAAUUUUAUAAGAUAAUUGUAAGACCAAUAAUAUUUUAUUGAUUUGAGUGUCUGACAUUUAAGAAAAAAUAUAUACAAAAAGUUUGGAUUAGAAUAUUAAUAUAGAUAUAUAUAAAGUUACUAGAAAGAUUAUAAAAAAAAUAUUUUUAUUCAUGAAUGAUUAUGUAUCACUUUGAUAGAGGAUAAGAUGAGAAAAUCUCACUUAAAAUGAUAUAAGUAUGUAUUAAGAAGACCUCACUAGUUAAAAGAGGUAAAAUAAUUAAUAUUAAUAGUACGAUGAGAGAUAAAGGAAAACUUAAAAAUACUUUAAUAUAGGUCAUACAUCAAAAAUUAAGUGUUUUAUACUUCAUUAAAUAUAUAUAAUUUUAUAUAUUUCAAUAAUCAUAAAAAAAAUCCAUGUAAUUGACUCCAAAGAUCCUCGUAUGAGAGUUUGUUAUUGUCGCUCAUAACCCUAAACUCGAUCACUCCUGUAUCCAUCAUUGCCUCUGUGCACAUAAGGAUGAUCGACAAAUGCGAUGCAAGACGAAGAUAUAGAACGAAGACGAUAACAAAUCUAACAUAGGCCAACGGUAAAAUAAUCAUUGUUUAAAAAAAAGGUGCUAUAUGGCAAUUUUUCAAUAUAGAAGCGGUCUGAGAAAAUUCUCAAAUUUANNNNNNNNNNNNNNNNNNNNUUUCUAAGAAUUCAUCAAUUAUUUAUUUAUUUUUCUUAAUUAAAUUCCUUUCAGCUAAUAGUUUCUGCUCCCAAGACUUCUGCGUGACUGAAGACAGCCUUUUAGGUAUACUUUUUUAUCUUUGCACCAAUCUUUCCCAUCUCCUAUCUCCCAUCUCCUUUCUCGCACCCUCCCUAUCCUCGCGUCUCCGUCUCUUUGAGCUGCGCCGAAUCGAUCAAGACGCGUUUGGAUGAGUUCACAUGUGGUUUGGAAGUUUGCCUUGCCGACACACCUUUUCUGGAGGGGUCGCCUUUCCUUUACACGUAACAUUCAUUCCACAUGGGGAGCACUCCUCACUUGAUGAGGGAGAACAGUCGAAGAAGCUCCACAACUCAGUCAGCAACACUUCCUCGAUGGGUUCCAAAAGUCACUGAUUGAACGUCAACCACCGUAAUGUCUUUUCAAAGAGAUUAUUACACUCUAGCAUUCACGAUUUGAUUAUUUACGGAUAGUAACGAUGACAUAAAGGUUUAUUUCGGAAUUUUAUCGUAUUUGAAUCUGAAUAAUCACAAGGAACAUAGUACCUAGUGGCUGAUGAAUCACCACAACUUGGUCCACGGGUCGAUGUUGGAAGUCUUCUGUCGGCUAAGCUAGCUUCAGGAUCGAUCGGGUCCUCGUGACGGGGGCCUUGAUCGGCGUUCUCCAGUCCGAGAUAGCUCGAUGGCGCAUCGCGGGGACACCGGUCCUCGAAUUCUGAGGUUGGGUUGCUUUCCUGCAAAAACGAUCUUCGUCGGGUGAUCCCGACUUUGGUCCCUCCGACGAGCAAGUUAGUAGUAGGUUUUGUUGUUUUUCUCUUGCCCCCCACUAGAGGCCGGGAUCGAGGUUUUUAUACUGUUGUAAGAGGGUUGGUCGUACACGGGUUGGCGUGGUGGGCACAGCACAGUAUCAGUACGGAUUCUGGCUCGACGUGCAGGGCAUUGUCGUCCCGGGAUUACUAGGAUCAGACGUGUCUAAUAGUGUCUUGGGAGCACGGAUUCUAACGUGGCAUGUGGCAUUGGUUGUGACAUAUCCUGGGGGAAAAGUAUGCCUUAUCACGUAGUGAUGUAUUGAUGGUAGACACAUCAACGUUGGGUUUUGAUGACAUCUUUUGUCAUCACUGCUCUCGUUAGGUUUUGAACAAAAUGUGUUUCUAACUACAUCAGUAACUUUGGUAAUAGUCAAGAAACAAUGUUUUGACACUAAUUAAAAAGAUAUUUGUUCAUGCUUAUGAAGUUUAUGCAAUAUACCAAAUGCGUAUAAGACCUAUAAUUAUUAUUUUUUUAGGACUAUUGAGAACAAAAAAGAUAAAUUCCAAGUUUUAGGGACAAAAUAACAUGUAGUAUCUUGAUUAUUUCUCUUAAUUAUUGUUUGUAAAUCUUACACCGUGGCCGAAGAGUUUGUACGGCUUGCUCUGAUUACCAAUGUCCAAGAUGUCUCUGGGAUGAUAUCUUCGUCGGGUCUGGUUGAACUCAGGAUCGGUCGAGUUGCACUUCUGCAACGAGUACGCUCACUCUUGUUAUCGUCGGAUCCCUACACACUGGCGUAGGUCGGGGUGGGAGGGGUAUCCCGACUUAGGCCUCUCCAAGGAUUAAGUCAGUAGAACUUUAUGAAAAAUCCUCUGCCCCCGUACACUAGAUUUUAUUUUGGUGCUUGAGGGCCGGUCGUACACGAUUUUCGCGCGACGACCGACUCGCUGGAUAACAAAUUUGUACAUUCGAACGAUCGUCGUCUGGUAUGUAUGGAACGACGCCAUCCCAAGCUUCCCGGAACAAUCCUUGUCGGGAUGGCGUCGGGUCGUGUGGCCCCAGAUGACGCGGGAGAGGAGCGGCCAUCGUCUCAAAUUCCCAAUGACGCAUCCGACGUGGCGUCACGUCUUUCUCCGGAGGUUCCGUGCUUACGCUGAUAUGGUCGGAGGUUGUGUUCAUGUGGGGAAAUCCUAUGCUUUAUCAAUUAUCACUCGCCAAAAUCUUACAACAGAUGCACUUUGUGUUAGAAAAAAUGGACAAAGGUUACAUGAAUGACUGUAGUUUUCACUUAAAAUUAAAGUUGCAAUUAUUGUGCAUGUAAUAUUAGUGCAUUAAUUUAUCGAUAUAUCAUUAACUACACAAGAACCAUGCAACUUAGAUUUUUGGCAACAAGGUGGGACAAGGAUGAUACUGAUAAUGAGGGACAUGAUCAUGGAACCAACAAGGUGAGACAAGGAUGACAUAAACACUGAUAAUGGUGAUGGAUAGGGAAGACUAAGACAUCAUUAAAAGGCCUUUAGUUUUCGUUUUUCUUUUGGCUGAAUCACAUGACACCAUGAUGGAAGUGAAGGAUGGGUCGACUCUAUCAAGAAAAUAGAGAGAGAGAGAGAGAGAGAGAGAGAGAGAGAGAGAGAGAGAAACAUCACAUCAGAAACAAUUUAAUUCUUGAUUUGUUGUACUUUUCGAAAAAAUAUUCUCCAUAUAUUUCAGAAAAUCUGGUGGUUAAUACUGUAUCAUUCUUUCAUAUACUUUCACUACUGAAAGAAGAAAAUGGUACUUUAAUGGUUCCUUUAUUUGUCAUUUUGGAUCUUUAACGUGAAAAAUUCUCAUACUUUUCUUCAAAUAAAAUAAUAUAAUCCCCUCUCUGUCCCAUUGAAGAAUAUGAUUUUGAUAUAUGGAGAAAAGCUGCUGGUUAUAUUUUUCCUGUUUACAUUCCUCUACGCAUUAGUUUUAAUCCCCUCACGUUUGCAGUGUCACUGAUACGUUGCUGCAUGACUGAGUUACCGGCCAAGCUGACAAAAAGCAGUGAUGUGAACGAAUGCGUUGGCAAUAAAACCAUUCAAUAGUUUUGCUCAGCUGUUUUGCUCAAAGAAAACGUUCAUCCCACAAUAGCUGGAACCCUCGGAAGGCCUUCAUGAUUGAGCUGCUCACUGUGGACGUGUGCGGUGUGCCCCCGCUGACGAGAGGAGUCUCGGCUUUUCCGUGUCCUUCCCCCUCACUGUACUCCUUACAUUUACCAUCGCCAUGGAGUUGAGCUGAAUCAGGCCAAGGGUGAUGGUACUGCGGUGUCUCACCUGACGAAGGAGAACAACCCAAGUGAAGCUCUUCUUUUCGUGCAGGAGUCACGGGUUGCACGUACGAACCCUACUGGUGACGCGACAGGAAGCAACUGUUCUUGGAAUCAUGGCGGCUUCCCUCACCCUCGAGGCCAUGCACCUACUUCCAAACUCGUACUGCCACCUACUGUUCGCCUUGCAGAAGCAUUCUGCGUCACACUUCAUUCUGCUGUGUGGACGGUGGCUUGCACUGUUCGUUGUUACACUUAACCGUAAUCUCCGACGCAGAAACUAUUCUUCAUGGCUUUAUUCUGCGUUGUUUUCUUAUCACAGAUUUAGCACUGUUCAUUACUUCCUCUCAAACUUAGACCGAAACCUGCAAGUCCUUCGCGACUUCCAAGGCGAAAGAGGAUAGAUAUCCCGCAUAUACACUUGGCACCAAACUUACAGGUGCUUCCAUGCCAUUGCAGUUUAAGCGAGAGCAGUGAUGCUCAUAAGUUCAAUAAUUAUUCUUGUUCAAUUUCUACUCUUUUCCAAGUUGAUUUAUUUGAUAAUUUGAAUUUAAUGGCUACCUUAGAAACUAUAUCAUGUAUAUAAGGGAUGCAUAUGGAAUUUUACCUAGUAUGGUUUUACCUUAUAACUAUAUCAUGUACAUGACAAGGACCAUAUCCAAGCUCUAGAGCUUCUUCCUCCUCAUGAUGGUCACAAACCCUACCCUCCUGAGGCCUCUAUAAAAUACACCCAACCCACCUUCAAGCUCUGCGCCCACCUCUCUCUCCUUCAGUCCUUGAUUUAUUCUCUGCUCUUCUUCCCAUCAUGGGGAGGCUCAUUGCAGCCACCCUCUUCCUCCUCAUCUUCACACUCCUGCAUUCCUCCCAUGCGUGUCCCAAAUGUCCAUAUCCCACUCCCUCCAUCCCACACCCUAAGCACCACCCGAAGCACCCUCCCAAGGUGAAACCCUACCCUAAGCCCAAACCUCACCCUCCAAAGCCACCAGUAGUUGGCCCUCCUAAACCUCCUCCGGUUGUCCCACCACCACUCCCACCUGUAGUUGUUCCCCAACCUCCUCCCUAUGUGAAGCCUCCGCCUGUGCCGCCCGUUGUCGGUCCACCCAAGCCUCCUCCGGUGGUGUACCCCCCCGUGCCGCCUGUUGUCGGUCCACCCAAGCCUCCUCCGGUGGUGUACCCGCCCGUUCCGCCCGUUGUCGGGCCACCCAAGCCUCCUCCGGUGGUGUACCCGCCCGUUCCGCCUGUUGUCGGGCCACCCAAGCCACCUCCGGUGGUGUACCCACCCCAGCCGUGCCCGCCGCCGCCGCCGCCGCCGCCCAAGGAGACAUGCCCGGCGGACACGCUGAAGCUGGGAGCCUGCGUCGACCUGAUCAGCGGCAUGAUACCCAUUCGGAUCGGGGCGGACGCCAAGUCGACGUG
This 8971-nucleotide long non-coding RNA is filed under the name Musa acuminata (dwarf banana). RNAcentral describes it as "long non-coding RNA (MACU_LNC003011)". Lineage: Eukaryota; Viridiplantae; Streptophyta; Magnoliopsida; Zingiberales; Musaceae. The record is from RNAcentral.